This 313-nucleotide long non-coding RNA is filed under the name Elaeis guineensis (African oil palm). RNAcentral describes it as "long non-coding RNA (EGUI_LNC040192)". Lineage: Eukaryota; Viridiplantae; Streptophyta; Magnoliopsida; Arecales; Arecaceae. The record is from RNAcentral.
CCAAACAUAAUAGAAUCUAUGGGGUCACACACAAAAAAGAUUUUUGACUGAUCAAAUGGUUGAAUUACGAUUAUGAAUCGUAACAGGAUUUGAUUAUCAAUUUGAUUGAUAAUUGAUCUAAUACAAAUAUUGCAUUAUAUAACCUACUAAAGAGUUAGUAAGUUAUAGGAGGAUUAAUUAGUAAUAGGAUUGCUAAUUGAUUAAAUUUGAUUGAGCAAUAGGACUUGCAUCAAGUCUAAUUUGAUUGGAUUUAAUUUGACUUAUUAUGGGUUUGAUUUGAUCAACCCUAAUAGGGUUAUAGGAUAAUCCCAAA